RNAcentral lists this long non-coding RNA (899 nucleotides) under Olea europaea subsp. europaea. The record is from RNAcentral. Lineage: Eukaryota; Viridiplantae; Streptophyta; Magnoliopsida; Lamiales; Oleaceae.
GUUUCUUAGCACUAAAAUCUUUGGCUUUGUAACAUCUACAUGUCACUUUCACAUACAUAUCCCCAUUGGAUUUGAACUGUACGAUAGGUCCUUUUCUGGUCUUCCCAAAUUAAAUAAAAAAUAUUCUAUUUUUCACAUUUCUAGUGGCCAAUGAAUGAGAUGAUUUGAAGCCCGACAAAGGUUCUAUUCCGUGUCAACUUUUUUAACCUAAAACAUGCUUAUGCUUUAAAUGGUCCACAUAGACAAGAAGAUAAACAUGUCAGAGAAGACCAUUCACAAGCAACUUGUUUCUUGGUCCUCUUGAAAUUAUAUACAUUGAAACUAUUGGGCUGCAAAAUUUAAGUACUUGUGUACUAUCUUAUGCUUUUAGCUAAUUUUAAAUAAAUUGAAAAAAGACAACCUGAUAUAUAUGUGGGUUUGUCUUGGACUCGAAGCUAUAAUUGUCGAGUUUCUUAAGCACCUUUUAAAAGAAGGAAAGCUAUAAUUGUCAGGUUUCUUAUAGCACCUUUUCAGAGAAGGAAAAGAAGCCAUAAUUGUCAAGUUUCUCGAAUUUAUGAUUAUGGGACCACAAGUACCUCUUGCAAGUUUUUAAACUGCUGCAUUUAAGCCGAUAAAGAUGAUGAUCAAACUGCUCUUCAAUUUCUGAAACAAUAAAUACUACCAAAGCUUCGCACGUUGGCAUCAAAGAGUUUGGGGUCGAGCUAUACCCUCAUUUCGAAGUCGUGUAUUCAAGUUACUACAGAGCCAUAUAGGUGAUUAUCUGGUCCUGUAAAAGCAUGUGUUCUGUAAAUUACAUUGUUUUUUGAGUUCCUCCGGAAAAAGGAUGAAUUUUUACGGCCUGUUCUAUCUAUACUGAAGAUAAUACAUAUCAUAGAUGCUAGCUAUCCACUGUCUUGGAU